GUUUGAUCAUGGCUCAGAUUGAACGCUGGCGGCAGGCCUAACACAUGCAAGUCGAGCGGAAACGAGUUAUCUGAACCUUCGGGGAACGAUAACGGCGUCGAGCGGCGGACGGGUGAGUAAUGCCUAGGAAAUUGCCCUGAUGUGGGGGAUAACCAUUGGAAACGAUGGCUAAUACCGCAUAAUGCCUACGGGCCAAAGAGGGGGACCUUCGGGCCUCUCGCGUCAGGAUAUGCCUAGGUGGGAUUAGCUAGUUGGUGAGGUAAGGGCUCACCAAGGCGACGAUCCCUAGCUGGUCUGAGAGGAUGAUCAGCCACACUGGAACUGAGACACGGUCCAGACUCCUACGGGAGGCAGCAGUGGGGAAUAUUGCACAAUGGGCGCAAGCCUGAUGCAGCCAUGCCGCGUGUGUGAAGAAGGCCUUCGGGUUGUAAAGCACUUUCAGUCGUGAGGAAGGUAGUGUAGUUAAUAGCUGCAUUAUUUGACGUUAGCGACAGAAGAAGCACCGGCUAACUCCGUGCCAGCAGCCGCGGUAAUACGGAGGGUGCGAGCGUUAAUCGGAAUUACUGGGCGUAAAGCGCAUGCAGGUGGUUUGUUAAGUCAGAUGUGAAAGCCCGGGGCUCAACCUCGGAAUUGCAUUUGAAACUGGCAGACUAGAGUACUGUAGAGGGGGGUAGAAUUUCAGGUGUAGCGGUGAAAUGCGUAGAGAUCUGAAGGAAUACCGGUGGCGAAGGCGGCCCCCUGGACAGAUACUGACACUCAGAUGCGAAAGCGUGGGGAGCAAACAGGAUUAGAUACCCUGGUAGUCCACGCCGUAAACGAUGUCUACUUGGAGGUUGUGGCCUUGAGCCGUGGCUUUCGGAGCUAACGCGUUAAGUAGACCGCCUGGGGAGUACGGUCGCAAGAUUAAAACUCAAAUGAAUUGACGGGGGCCCGCACAAGCGGUGGAGCAUGUGGUUUAAUUCGAUGCAACGCGAAGAACCUUACCUACUCUUGACAUCCAGAGAACUUUCCAGAGAUGGAUUGGUGCCUUCGGGAACUCUGAGACAGGUGCUGCAUGGCUGUCGUCAGCUCGUGUUGUGAAAUGUUGGGUUAAGUCCCGCAACGAGCGCAACCCUUAUCCUUGUUUGCCAGCGAGUAAUGUCGGGAACUCCAGGGAGACUGCCGGUGAUAAACCGGAGGAAGGUGGGGACGACGUCAAGUCAUCAUGGCCCUUACGAGUAGGGCUACACACGUGCUACAAUGGCGCAUACAGAGGGCGGCCAACUUUGCGAGAGUGAGCCGAAUCCCAAAAAGUGCGUCGUA
RNAcentral lists this ribosomal RNA (1302 nucleotides) under Vibrio sp. OSH4. RNAcentral describes it as "bacterial SSU rRNA". It matches the Rfam family "Bacterial small subunit ribosomal RNA", at positions 11 to 1290 of the family's 1533-position model. Lineage: Bacteria; Pseudomonadati; Pseudomonadota; Gammaproteobacteria; Vibrionales; Vibrionaceae. The record is from RNAcentral.